GAUGAACGCUGGCGGCGUGCUUAACACAUGCAAGUCGAACGGUGAAGGCGGAGCUUGCUCUGCUGGAUCAGUGGCGAACGGGUGAGUAACACGUGAGCAAUCUGCCCCUGACUCUGGGAUAAGCGCUGGAAACGGCGUCUAAUACUGGAUACGAGCUGCGAAGGCAUCUUCAGCAGCUGGAAAGAACUUCGGUCAGGGAUGAGCUCGCGGCCUAUCAGCUUGUUGGUGAGGUAACGGCUCACCAAGGCGUCGACGGGUAGCCGGCCUGAGAGGGUGACCGGCCACACUGGGACUGAGACACGGCCCAGACUCCUACGGGAGGCAGCAGUGGGGAAUAUUGCACAAUGGGCGAAAGCCUGAUGCAGCAACGCCGCGUGAGGGACGACGGCCUUCGGGUUGUAAACCUCUUUUAGCAGGGAAGAUGCGAAAGUGACGGUACCUGCAGAAAAAGCGCCGGCUAACUACGUG
This 468-nucleotide ribosomal RNA is filed under the name uncultured bacterium. RNAcentral's name for it is "partial 16S ribosomal RNA". It matches the Rfam family "Bacterial small subunit ribosomal RNA", at positions 28 to 507 of the family's 1533-position model. The record is from RNAcentral.